GGGCAUCGCCCGAGCCCGAACCCCCGGCCCAGGGUCCUGGCGCGCAACGACAUGAGCAUCGCCGAGGAGCUGCUGUACCUGCGCGUGGUGCGUGGCCUAAUGGCCGCCAUGGGCAACAAGGACCACAGCAACAGCCAGCGGCUGGCCAGUCUCACGCUGGAGUACUUCGUGCAGAUGUUCCCCUUGGUGGCAGAGCAUGUGCGCAAGUGCAUGGGGGAGGAACUCUACCAGCUCUUCCUGGCUGCCGACCCGCCCCCCACCUGCAACAUCCCUCUGCCAAGCCCAACUCCAAGUCCAGACUGCCCUGGCACCCCAGCCGGGUCCCCCUUGCUCCUGUCCUCAGAGCAACGCUGAGGACUUGUACAUGAAAAUAGACAGCAUUCAGGCGGACAUCUUGGCGGCCAACAAAGUCAAUGUUACCAAAGGUGAGUGUGGGACGAGGGAAGCCGGGCGCAGGCGCCGCCAGCACAGCUUCACGCCCGCCUUUCCUGCCUGCAGCCCUGUGCCUCCAUGGCAGCUCCCACAGCAUGAACGCUCUCUAUGGCUCGCGUGAUUCAGCUCAGAUGGCCUACCUCACACACUUCGAGGAGGAUGUAGAAUCAAAGGAGUAACAGCCCCUGUGGCAAACCAGGAAUGCCAAGGCUGCGGGGCAGGGAAGCCGGGCAAGAGGAAGGCGCCUGGGGUCAAGCUCAGAGCCACUCCACUUGGCUCCAGGCGGGAGACGGAGAUUAGACACCCCAGAGGGGCAGAGGGAGAGCCGCUGGCUGCGAAGAGUCAAUAAACAGCCUUGAUACCUGUC
RNAcentral lists this small RNA (799 nucleotides) under Pongo abelii (Sumatran orangutan). RNAcentral describes it as "retained intron". The record is from RNAcentral. Lineage: Eukaryota; Metazoa; Chordata; Mammalia; Primates; Hominidae.